RNAcentral lists this small RNA (1312 nucleotides) under Malus domestica (apple). RNAcentral's name for it is "sRNA MD11G0189100". The record is from RNAcentral. Lineage: Eukaryota; Viridiplantae; Streptophyta; Magnoliopsida; Rosales; Rosaceae.
AUUGAUUAAGUGGAAGCUUGGCCUAUUAUCGAUAAAUGAAUGGAGUUUACGGAUUAAAGUUUGUCAUGAGGAAUUGACCCUGGUAUGUCAGGGGUCAAAUUUUCCAUCUGGAAAGGUAGACCACUGGUUUUAAGGAUUCGAACGUGAUUGCCAAGCUUGUUAUCUGGGCUAGACUGGUUCCUGUCUAAUAUAAGGAGGAUAAUAUAAUCAAGGAUAUUACUCAGCCAUUAGGGAGUGUGCUGAGGGUGGACGAAGUGACUUUGGGCUUGAAUAGCCUUUUUGUCAAGGUUCUGCUGGAGGUGGAUCUGAGGUUUCCACUGAUGCUGGUGCUUAUUGUUAACCAGGAUGAGAAAUGCCCCAUUCUUGUGAGUUACGAAAAACUUUUUGAGGUCUGUCUUUAUUGCGGGAAAAUGAGGUAUGAUGGUUAUGUCUGCCCCGAGGUGUAGGCUGAUGAUGGCUGCUUCAUGAUUAUCAAGGUGUAUGAGGAUGAACCUUCGGUGUUCCUAGAAGAUAUUGUGGUGGAUGCAGAUAUCAAAGCUAAUCUGCAAAAGUAUGUGAUGUUGUGCUUCCUUAGUGCUACUAUUGGUGGAAGAGGAGACCAUUGAGAUUGUGGAGAUGGGACAACGUGUGGACGAUGAUGGUUCUGAUGAGGAUGGUUGGGCUACUAUUACUCCAAAAUAGAGAAGGAGAGCUGAGAAAAUAAGGGUUGGUGAGAGUUAGAUGACAGGUCUUUUAGGUAGGUGGUUUCUUGCCUUAAGACUAAAGUGGGUGGCUAGGGCUGAUCUGGUUUAGGAUUGGAGAAGAGCAGGGAAAUGUGUGGAUCAGGAUCAAGGGGAUGUUGUGAUGUCAAGAAUAAGAAGUGAAGAGGGUGAUAAUAAAGACAAGUUUAGGAGCCUGGUUGUGGCUUGUCAUGCUGUUGAGGGUGCCUCUGUGAGUGAUAGACCAACUAUAAGGACGCUGAGUCCAAGGAAACGUGUCUGUGAGGAGGAUGCUGCAGGAACGGGACGAAGUUCCUACCUUAACGAGCUGGAUUAAUGAAGUGCAUAGUUUGGAACUGUAGGGGAAUGGGUAGACCAGAGUUUAAGUGUAAUUUCAAUUAUUUAUGUAGUUUGGAAUCUCUAUGGCUAAGGCCCCUGUUAGGUUUUUUAGGAAGUAUUUUGAUCAUUUUUUUUGACAUGACCCCAAUGGAAGGUCUGGGGGCCUUUGUAUUUGCUGGAACUCUGGAACCAUUAAUAUUAAUGUCAUUGAUGCUUGCUCUUGUUUUAUACAUGUGGCAAUUAAAGAUAUUAGAAUGAACGUUGAGUACUUUGCU